GGGUUGUGAGGUUAAGCGACUAAGCGUACACGGUGGAUGCCCUGGCAGUCAGAGGCGAUGAAGGACGUGCUAAUCUGCGAAAAGCGUCGGUAAGGUGAUAUGAACCGUUACAGCCGGCGAUGUCCGAAUGGGGAAACCCAGUGCAAUUCGUUGCACUAUCGUUAACUGAAUACAUAGGUUAACGAGGCGAACCGGGGGAACUGAAACAUCUAAGUACCCCGAGGAAAAGAAAUCAACCGAGAUUCCCCCAGUAGCGGCGAGCGAACGGGGAGCAGCCCAGAGUCUGAAUCAGCUUGUGUGUUAGUGGAACGGUCUGGAAAGUCCGACGGUACAGGGUGAUAGUCCCGUACACCAAAAUGCACAGGCUGUGAACUCGAAGAGUAGGGCGGGACACGUGGUAUCCUGUCUGAAUAUGGGGGGACCAUCCUCCAAGGCUAAAUACUCCUGACUGACCGAUAGUGAACCAGUACCGUGAGGGAAAGGCGAAAAGAACCUGAAACCGUGUACGUACAAGCAGUGGGAGCACCUUCGGGUGUGACUGCGUACCUUUGUAUAAUGGGUCAGCGACUUAUAUUCUGUAGCAAGGUUAACCGUAUAGGGGAGCCGCAGGGAAACCGAGUCUUAACUGGGCGUUAAGUUGCAGGGUAUAGACCCGAAACCCGGUGAUCUAGCCAUGGGCAGGUUGAAGGUUGGGUAACACUAACUGGAGGACCGAACCGACUAAUGUUGAAAAAUUAGCGGAUGACUUGUGGCUGGGGGUGAAAGGCCAAUCAAACCGGGAGAUAGCUGGUUCUCCCCGAAAGCUAUUUAGGUAGCGCCUCGUGAACUCAUCUUCGGGGGUAGAGCACUGUUUCGGCUAGGGGGUCAUCCCGACUUACCAACCCGAUGCAAACUACGAAUACCGAAGAAUGUUAUCACGGGAGACACACGGCGGGUGCUAACGUCCGUCGUGAAGAGGGAAACAACCCAGACCGCCAGCUAAGGUCCCAAAGUCAUGGUUAAGUGGGAAACGAUGUGGGAAGGCACAGACAGCCAGGAUGUUGGCUUAGAAGCAGCCAUCAUUUAAAGAAAGCGUAAUAGCUCACUGGUCGAGUCGGCCUGCGCGGAAGAUGUAACGGGGCUAAACCAUGCACCGAAGCUGCGGCAGCGACACUUAUGUGUUGUUGGGUAGGGGAGCGUUCUGUAAGCCUGCGAAGGUGUGCUGUGAGGCAUGCUGGAGGUAUCAGAAGUGCGAAUGCUGACAUAAGUAACGAUAAAGCGGGUGAAAAGCCCGCUCGCCGGAAGACCAAGGGUUCCUGUCCAACGUUAAUCGGGGCAGGGUGAGUCGACCCCUAAGGCGAGGCCGAAAGGCGUAGUCGAUGGGAAACAGGUUAAUAUUCCUGUACUUGGUGUUACUGCGAAGGGGGGACGGAGAAGGCUAUGUUAGCCGGGCGACGGUUGUCCCGGUUUAAGCAUGUAGGCUGGUUGUCCAGGCAAAUCCGGAUAAUCAAGGCUGAGGUGUGAUGACGAGGCACUACGGUGCUGAAGUAACAAAUGCCCUGCUUCCAGGAAAAGCCUCUAAGCAUCAGGUAACAUUAAAUCGUACCCCAAACCGACACAGGUGGUCAGGUAGAGAAUACCAAGGCGCUUGAGAGAACUCGGGUGAAGGAACUAGGCAAAAUGGUGCCGUAACUUCGGGAGAAGGCACGCUGGUGUGUAGGUGAAGUCCCUCGCGGAUGGAGCUGAGACCAGUCGAAGAUACCAGCUGGCUGCAACUGUUUAUUAAAACACAGCACUGUGCAAACACGAAAGUGGACGUAUACGGUGUGACGCCUGCCCGGUGCCGGAAGGUUAAUUGAUGGGGUUAUCGUAAGGGAAGCUCUUGAUCGAAGCCCCGGUAAACGGCGGCCGUAACUAUAACGGUCCUAAGGUAGCGAAAUUCCUUGUCGGGUAAGUUCCGACCUGCACGAAUGGCGUAAUGAUGGCGAGGCUGUCUCCACCCGAGACUCAGUGAAAUUGAACUCGCUGUGAAGAUGCAGUGUACCCGCGGCAAGACGGAAAGACCCCGUGAACCUUUACUAUAGCUUGACACUGAACAUUGAGCCUUGAUGUGUAGGAUAGGUGGGAGGCUUUGAAGCGUGGACGCCAGUCUGCGUGGAGCCAACCUUGAAAUACCACCCUUUAAUGUUUGAUGUUCUAACGUUGGCCCCUUACCGGGGUUGCGGACAGUGUCUGGUGGGUAGUUUGACUGGGGCGGUCUCCUCCCAAAGCGUAACGGAGGAGCACGAAGGUUAGCUAAUCCUGGUCGGACAUCAGGAGGUUAGUGCAAUGGCAUAAGCUAGCUUGACUGCGAGCGUGACGGCGCGAGCAGGUGCGAAAGCAGGUCAUAGUGAUCCGGUGGUUCUGAAUGGAAGGGCCAUCGCUCAACGGAUAAAAGGUACUCCGGGGAUAACAGGCUGAUACCGCCCAAGAGUUCAUAUCGACGGCGGUGUUUGGCACCUCGAUGUCGGCUCAUCACAUCCUGGGGCUGAAGUAGGUCCCAAGGGUAUGGCUGUUCGCCAUUUAAAGUGGUACGCGAGCUGGGUUUAGAACGUCGUGAGACAGUUCGGUCCCUAUCUGCCGUGGGCGCUGGAGAAUUGAGGGGGGCUGCUCCUAGUACGAGAGGACCGGAGUGGACGCAUCACUGGUGUUCGGGUUGUCAUGCCAAUGGCACUGCCCGGUAGCUAAAUGCGGAAGAGAUAAGUGCUGAAAGCAUCUAAGCACGAAACUUGCCCCGAGAUGAGUUCUCCCUGAGACUUUAAGUCUCCUGAAGGAACGUUGAAGACGACGACGUUGAUAGGCCGGGUGUGUAAGCGCAGCGAUGCGUUGAGCUAACCGGUACUAAUGAACCGUGAGGCUUAACCUUACAACGCCGAAG
This 2896-nucleotide ribosomal RNA is filed under the name Klebsiella pneumoniae. RNAcentral describes it as "23S ribosomal RNA". It matches the Rfam family "Bacterial large subunit ribosomal RNA". Lineage: Bacteria; Pseudomonadati; Pseudomonadota; Gammaproteobacteria; Enterobacterales; Enterobacteriaceae. The record is from RNAcentral.